This is a long non-coding RNA of Physeter macrocephalus (sperm whale), 742 nucleotides long. RefSeq lists it as uncharacterized. Lineage: Eukaryota; Metazoa; Chordata; Mammalia; Artiodactyla; Physeteridae. The transcript has 3 exons. The record is from RefSeq and is a predicted model, not a curated record.
CAUGUAAGGGACAUCUCCAACCUGUACAGCAAACCCAGGACGAUUAAAGGGAAGAGGAGAGCCUAAAACUGCGGUUCCGGCGGGGAGGGAAAGUCAGGCUGGAGGUCCACCUGCAGAAUCCACGUAAUCAAACUGCUGCGGUCUCCUGUCUCUUCAGACUCCAGAAGUCACCAGAGGGAAGAGGCUGAGGCUGGCUUUGCAGCACUGGGAUUUCUGAGCUGAGAAGAAAGUGUUUUUCCGUUUGCAGUGACUCAGUGGAAACAAAGACUGAGUACCACGAGCGGAUAGCCCUUCUCUGCCAUUAUGAACUGUCCCUGAAGAAAGCACCCAUCAAAGUAACAAGCCCGGGGGCCUCUCGCCUCCUAGGUGAUCUCAAGUCCCAGGGUUUUAAGGACAUCUGUGCGCUGAUAGCUCCUGAAGUUACAUCUCCAGACCACGACCCCAGCAUGAGUUACGACCUGAAUCAGCACAUCAAGACCCUGACAGGUCCUGCACGAAAGAAACCCUUGACUCGGUGAAGCCAGCCUCGCUGAAUCCUUUAUGGCCCAGGAACACUUGGUCCCUUCAUCACGUCUCCCAAGACCGUGGCACCGUGGGAUACUCCUUGGGAGACACCCUCGACCUCUCCUGGUGGGGGAACCUAGCAUUUCCACCCUGUCCUUAUCACAAGCUGUUUCCUUCUCUAAAACCCCAGGCAUCUCCAUCACUCCCAGGGAUGGCCUGGGGCCGCCUCUCCCCCUCA